This 424-nucleotide ribosomal RNA is filed under the name uncultured prokaryote. RNAcentral describes it as "bacterial SSU rRNA". It matches the Rfam family "Bacterial small subunit ribosomal RNA", at positions 355 to 796 of the family's 1533-position model. The record is from RNAcentral.
UAGGGAAUAUUGGACAAUGGGCGAAAGCCUGAUCCAGCCAUGCCGCGUGAGUGAUGAAGGCCCUAGGGUUGUAAAGCUCCUUCGCCGGUGAAGAUAAUGACGGUAACCGGUAAAGAAGCCCCGGCUAACUUCGUGCCAGCAGCCGCGGUAAUACGAAGGGGGCUAGCGUUGUUCGGAAUUACUGGGCGUAAAGCGCGCGUAGGCGGACACUUAAGUCAGGGGUGAAAUCCCGGGGCUCAACCUCGGAAUUGCCUCUGAUACUGGGUGUCUCGAGUCCGAGAGAGGUGAGUGGAACUCCGAGUGUAGAGGUGAAAUUCGUAGAUAUUCGGAAGAACACCAGUGGCGAAGGCGGCUCACUGGCUCGGUACUGACGCUGAGGUGCGAAAGCGUGGGGAGCAAACAGGAUUAGAUACCCCUGUAGUCC